Molecule: long non-coding RNA, 759 nt
Organism: Hipposideros armiger (great roundleaf bat)
Lineage: Eukaryota; Metazoa; Chordata; Mammalia; Chiroptera; Hipposideridae
Exons: 6
Source: RefSeq, a predicted model, not a curated record
UGAGGACAUGGGGAAUCAAAGCAGAGGAGGCAACAGAAAUGAAAGCACCCAGUUCCUUUCACCACAUACAGAUGACUUCCUAGUGCUUCUGACCACGGGAUUCCAGGGCAGACAGGGGCAUGAUACUGAUCUCCAUCCUCAUCUGUCCAGAAGGGCACAGAAUGAAAACUCCCUGUCUGGGGGACCUUAUUGAUUUUGUUCACAGCUGAGGUGCUUAGAAUAUUGCCUGGAGCUCAGCCAAAAAUGAACACACCAUUUAUACAGGAUUUCUUCUGAUGGGCUGCAUUCUUCUUAACUGUGCAGCUUCUUAACACACGCAAGCAUGUGACCAGAUGGCCUGCACACCUACACAGGUUCAGCACAUCACCUUUCCUUCUGUUCCCUGAGUACGGGCUACCCAGUCCUGUUCCCAAGGCUUCACAGAAGAUUUGGUGCGAAGAGUUGGGAGAGUAGGAAGAUGAAUAUAUAUUGCAGCAACACGAUCAACUUCCAGUGGAAUAAUAAACCACCUGAAAAUGCCCUGAACAGGAGAGCUCAGGAACCUCUUGACCAGACUCACAUCAACUGGAGUCAACAGACUAAGAACAAAGAAGUUUCCCAAUCGUCCUGGGACGCUUGCUGGCGCCCAGAUGUCUGUGGUCCUCAAUCACCUCUUGCCCCGCCCAUUUCCCUUCCCUUGUCAUAAAAGUAGCCUGAACUCUGUAUUUGAGGCACCACUAGGUCUCCCAUCUCAGCUGGCAUCUUUUUGAUCAAUAAACC